Molecule: long non-coding RNA, 1263 nt
Organism: Anopheles gambiae (African malaria mosquito)
Lineage: Eukaryota; Metazoa; Arthropoda; Insecta; Diptera; Culicidae
Exons: 3
Source: RefSeq, a predicted model, not a curated record
CUUUGUCGAAAUUUUACAUAAAACGUAUUUUUUUAUAUUCUAACACGCAGUUUAGGGUCAUACAUGCAAAUACAUACACAUCUCUUUACCUACCUUCUUAAUACAUUUUUUUCUAUUUCUAACGAUACUAUGAUUCAAUCCCUUUAUCUUCCCAUUGAAGAUGUCGUGCAAUCAGAUGUUCCAUAAUUAACGAUUUGUUCAACGUUUUCAAAAGAACGAUCGGAUUAUUUAAAAAGUUUUCAAUUUCUUCAAUCAUUAAGAGCACUUAUUGUUUCCUCAAAUUAAUAACUCUAAAUUUUUUAUGGAAUUUUAGAAAGCAUGUCGUAUCGAAAAGUUGAAAACGCGAUUUAUCAAAGCCUUUACUUGGUACAUUUGACUUCUUCUAAAUUAGAUCUAUCAGAUUAAGGUACAUCACUAGGAUUUGGUAAAAAAUUAACUUAAACGAGUUUAUACAUAACACGGCCGUUAAAAGAGAAAUUGAAAACAGUGAAAAGAUCUUUAAGCAAGUUUGAGUGAAUCCAUAACAAAAAACAUUACAGUUUACCCUCUAAUCGAGCUAUAAAAUUAUCAUACUUGUCGUACAAUCAUGGUUUAAGCAACGACAUAUUUUCCUUUGCAUUGUCAUAAAUGAUCUUCUUAUUCUUCUUAUUCUUCUCCAUAUAUAGUCAGUCCUAGGUUGGCACGGUCCAUUCGGGGCUUGAGCCCAUGACGGGCAUGUUGUUAAGUCUUACGGUUAUAGAUAAUGGUUUAACAAAAUUAUCUUUUUCUGAAGAUAUGCGGACCAUUCCAGGCUUGAACCCAUGACUGGCAUUUCAUUGAGUCUUACGAGUUGAGGACGGUACCACGUAUUUAAUUUUUUUUAGACUCCCUUGACUACCACCGCUAAAGGAACACGAUACGGCAACUAUAGGAACCAUACCUCCAAUACAGCAAGCAAUGUCACCUUUGUAUUGAACUUUCAUUUCUCGCACGGAUAAACGGACAGCCGGAUAAAAGGUAACCAGCUAAACCGCGUUCUCCGGUAUCAGUUUCACAGAUCACCAUAGCCGGGUGUACCGUCUAUACCAGUGGUCUGCAAAAUGUACGAUAGUGUAAAUGCGAGCAUAAGGCUUAAUUAUUUUUAUCACAAUGUUGAAUGUUAUUCUAUUGAAUUUUCAAAACGCAUGCACUCAUCUUGCGAUUUUUGUCGAUGUAUUAAAAGAACCGUAGCGUUCGGUUCUUGUGGAUCAAUUAUUUACGUUUUAACGAGUACUGAAUGAAUCG